GGAUGUCCUGACCUAUGAUGAUGUGCAUGUGAACUUCACUGAGGAAGAGUGGGCAUUGCUGUAUCCUUCUCAGAAGACUCUCUACCAAUGUGUAAUGCUGGAGACCUGUAGGAAUCUCAGCGCUAUAGGUAUGAAAGAAGUUUUACUGGAAAGCAAACCUUUGAUUUUAUUCAGUAUAGUAAUGGCUUUGCAGUUCAGAGUCCUACCCAAAGGCAUAAUGGAGAGAAGCCCUAUGAAGGUAACCUCUGUGGUAAAGCAUUUGUACAGAGGAAUAAUCUCAAAACACAUAAAAGGACACAUAAUGGAGAAGAACCUUCUGAAUGUAACCAAUGUUGUAAAGACUUUGUAAGAAGCAGUGCUCUCCAAAAUCAUAAAGAAAUACACCCAGGAGAGAAACUUUAUGAAUGUAAUCAAUGUGGUAAAGCCUUUGCACAAAGGAGUAGUCUCAAAAGACAUAAAAGGACAUGUACUGGAGAAAAGCGUUAUAUAUAUAACCAAUGUCGUAAAGCCUU
RNAcentral lists this long non-coding RNA (512 nucleotides) under Rattus norvegicus (Norway rat). Its description in RNAcentral is "long non-coding RNA NONRATT020033". The record is from RNAcentral. Lineage: Eukaryota; Metazoa; Chordata; Mammalia; Rodentia; Muridae.